RNAcentral lists this ribosomal RNA (468 nucleotides) under uncultured bacterium. RNAcentral describes it as "partial 16S ribosomal RNA". It matches the Rfam family "Bacterial small subunit ribosomal RNA", at positions 28 to 507 of the family's 1533-position model. The record is from RNAcentral.
GACGAACGCUGGCGGCGUGCUUAACACAUGCAAGUCGAACGGAAAGGCCCUGCUUUUGUGGGGUGCUCGAGUGGCGAACGGGUGAGUAACACGUGAGUAACCUGCCCUUGACUUUGGGAUAACUUCAGGAAACUGGGGCUAAUACCGGAUAGGAGCUCCUGCUGCAUGGUGGGGGUUGGAAAGUUUCGGCGGUUGGGGAUGGACUCGCGGCUUAUCAGCUUGUUGGUGGGGUAGUGGCUUACCAAGGCUUUGACGGGUAGCCGGCCUGAGAGGGUGACCGGCCACAUUGGGACUGAGAUACGGCCCGGACUCCUACGGGGGGCAGCAGUGGGGAAUAUUGCACAAUGGGCGGAAGCCUGAUGCAGCAACGCCGCGUGCGGGAUGACGGCCUUCGGGUUGUAAACCGCUUUCGCCUGUGACGAAGCGUGAGUGACGGUAAUGGGUAAAGAAGCACCGGCUAACUACGUG